AUACGGAGGGUGCAAGCGUUAUUCGGAAUCACUGGGCGUAAAGGACGCGUAGGCGGGUUGGCAAGUCAGAUGUGAAAUCCUACAGCUUAACUGUAGAACUGCAUUUGAAACUGCUAACCUAGAGUAUGGGAGGGGGAGAUGGAAUUAGUGGUGUAGGGGUAAAAUCCGUAGAUAUCACUAGGAAUACCGAAAGCGAAGGCGAUCUCCUGGAACAUAACUGACGCUAAGGCGUGAAAGCGUGGGGAGCAAACAGGAUUAGAAGCCCCAGUAGUCC
This 274-nucleotide ribosomal RNA is filed under the name uncultured bacterium. RNAcentral's name for it is "partial 16S ribosomal RNA". It matches the Rfam family "Bacterial small subunit ribosomal RNA", at positions 523 to 796 of the family's 1533-position model. The record is from RNAcentral.